RNAcentral lists this ribosomal RNA (234 nucleotides) under Triticum aestivum (bread wheat). Its description in RNAcentral is "partial small subunit ribosomal RNA". The record is from RNAcentral. Lineage: Eukaryota; Viridiplantae; Streptophyta; Magnoliopsida; Poales; Poaceae.
AUGGAUAGGAACCCGCAAAUCUUGUGCUAGAACGUGAGGGGGUUAAACAACCCUGCCAAAAGAAGCGCGGUUAGGGAGUUCGUUGUGUCGCCGAACGUGAACCUUGUGUGCUUGCAAGAGACCAAGAUUGAUGUGUUUGAUUCGUUUAAUGUAAUGCAAUGCAUUGGACCAUCUUUUGAUGGCUUUGACUAUGUCCCGGCGAUUGAUACGCGUGGUGGUAUCCUUUUGGGGUGG